Heterocephalus glaber (naked mole-rat) is the source of this 609-nucleotide non-coding RNA. The record is from RefSeq and is a predicted model, not a curated record. NCBI's taxonomy places the organism in Eukaryota, Metazoa, Chordata, Mammalia, Rodentia, Bathyergidae.
CAUAUUUCUAAAUACUAUACAGACACUCCUUAACUUUAACAUUUGAGACAUUCUUUCUGACUUCCUGUUAUAACAGAUGAGGACCAGCUGUUUUUCCUCUUCCUUGUUUUCAAGGGUGAGGAUGCUGAAUUCGGAUAGCAGCGAGCUCACAAGGGCAGCAGGCUUUGCAACACCUCGCUGGAUGUCACCAGAUGUCACCAGAUGUCACCAGACAGAUGCACAAGGCUGGGCAUGGCACAGGGCAGUGCCUGUCAUCAAGGCAGAGCAGAGUGGAGAAGCUCCUCUCCCACACUGCCCGGCAUGCUGCUGGUCUCACUAUGUUGUCCAGGCUGGUCUUCAGGUUCUGGACUCAAGCCAUCCUCCUGCCUCAGGCCUUCAAGUGGCUGGGACUAUAGAUAUGGCACCGCUGCUUCUGACUCCCAAGGAAUUUCUUCAUCAGCAAUAAAGAAAAGAAGAUUCGAGAUGUAAGAAAAUAAUUAUUAUAAAUAUGGAUGAACAAACAUGUCUGAGAGUGCAUAUGAGACGCCCUGGAGUUACACAGGCUCAGAAUCUGGCCUUGGCCAUACAGAACCUCAAAUUCUAAUGCUAGGUCAAAAAAAAAAAAAAAAA